Molecule: long non-coding RNA, 1067 nt
Filed under: Equus caballus (horse)
Lineage: Eukaryota; Metazoa; Chordata; Mammalia; Perissodactyla; Equidae
Description: lncRNA (ENSECAG00000041418.2)
Source: RNAcentral
AAAACGACCCGGGCUGAAAAAACGAUCAACACCUUCUGUAGGACAGACAGUGGACAAAGUGCUCAGCGACUGGCCAUCGUGGCCACAGCCUGAAUGAGAAGAACUCCUGCCCUGAGGCCACUGGGGGCCUGGGGUGGGCUCCUGGGGUCACAGAGACCAGGGGGCAUUGGAGAGAUGAGGAGCUGGAAUCAGACUCCGGGCCUGAAGCACAGACUGGAAUAAGUCUGUACAGACCUGCCUCCUGGGAUGCUCUCCGGAAACUGGUCCCUGGAGGCAAGGCACAAGGGAGCUUCCGCAGAAAUCGGAGAAACCAAGCACCUGGGCUGAGGAUUUCCCAAGGAGGGCAGGACAGGGGCCUCGAAUGUCAAAGUUAGACCUGGCUCUGGAUGGGGAGCAGGGGUCAGGGAGGAGGCAGCCACGGAAAUCCACAGCUCCAGGACAGCCCUGAGCUAACAUCUGCUGCCAACCCUCCUCUUUUUGCUGAGGAAGACUGGCCCUGAGCUAACAUCUGUGCCCAUCUUCCUCUACUUUAUAUGUGGGACACCUGCCACAGCAUGGCUGGCCAAGCAGUGCCAUGUCCACACCAGGGAUCCGAACAGGCGAACCCCGGGGCACCAAAGCGGAAUGUGUGAACUUAACCACUGCGCCACCAGGCCGGUCCCUGACAUGGACUUUAAAAUAGCCUCUCCUAGGGUUUUGCCUGGGAUCUUAUUCCACCGUGAAAAGGAGUGAAGCACUGAUGCCGGCUACAACGUGGGUGAAACUUGAGAAGUCAUGCCACGUGAAAGAAGCCAGUCACAAGGCUGCAUAUUGCAUGAUUCCGUUUGUAUCAAAUGUCCACAAUAGGCAAAUCACAGAUUCCUGGUUGCCUUGAGUUGUGUGGCUGGGGGGAGCCGGCGGGAUAUCUGAGGGACAGCUGAACGGGACAGGGUUUCUUUCUGAGGUGACGAAAAUCUUCCAACAUUGAUUGUGGUGAUGGUUGCACAUAUCUGUGAAUAUAGCGAACACCGUGGAAUGGUACACUUUAAAUGGACGAUCUGUAUGGUAUGUGAGUUAUAUUUCAAUAA